UACGGAGGAUGCGAGCGUUAUCCGGAUUUAUUGGGUUUAAAGGGUGCGUAGGCGGUAUGGUAAGUCAGCGGUAAAAGCCCGGGGCUCAACCCCGGCCCGCCGUUGAAACUGGCAGUCUCGAGUUGGAGAGAAGUAAGCGGAAUGCGUGGUGUAGCGGUGAAAUGCUUAGAUAUCGCGCAGAACCCCGAUUGCGAAGGCAGCGUACCGGCUCCACACUGACGCUGAGGCACGAAAGCGUGGGUAUCGAACAGG
This 252-nucleotide ribosomal RNA is filed under the name uncultured Bacteroidales bacterium. RNAcentral describes it as "partial 16S ribosomal RNA". It matches the Rfam family "Bacterial small subunit ribosomal RNA", at positions 524 to 776 of the family's 1533-position model. The record is from RNAcentral. Lineage: Bacteria; Pseudomonadati; Bacteroidota; Bacteroidia; Bacteroidales.